UUCGGGCAAGGCCGUGGUCUAAUUCGCUUGGAACAGCGAGUCACAGAGGGUGAGAAUCCCGUCUAGGAUCGUACGCCGCGUCCAUGUGAAGCUCCUUCGACGAGUCGAGUUGUUUGGGAAUGCAGCUCUAAGCGGGUGGUAAAUUUCAUCUAAAGCUAAAUAUUGGCCAGAGACCGAUAGCGCACAAGUAGAGUGAUCGAAAGAUGAAAAGCACUUUGAAAAGAGAGUUAAACAGUAUGUGAAAUUGUUGAAAGGGAAGCGCUUGCAAUCAGACUUGUGUCUGACGGUUCCCCUGGCCCUCGUGGCCGGGCUACUCCGUCAUGUCCAGGCCAACAUCGGUUUGGGUGGUCGGUCAAAGACCCCGAGAAUGUAUCUACCUUCGGGUCGACUUAUAGCCCGGGGUGGAAUGCGGCCCACCCGGACCGAGGAACGCGCUUCGGCUCGGAUGUUGGCGUAAUGGUUGCAAGCGGCCCGUCUUGAAACACGGACCAAGGAGUCUAACAUCUAUGCGAGUGUCUGGGCGUCAAACCCCUACGCGUAAUGAAAGUGAACGGAGGUAAGAACCCCGCAAGGGGCGCAUUAUCGACCGAUCCUGAUGUCUUCGGAUGGAUUUGAGUAAGAGCAUAGCUGUUGGGACCC
RNAcentral lists this ribosomal RNA (639 nucleotides) under Verrucaria funckii. RNAcentral describes it as "eukaryotic LSU rRNA". It matches the Rfam family "Eukaryotic large subunit ribosomal RNA", at positions 163 to 817 of the family's 3401-position model. Lineage: Eukaryota; Fungi; Ascomycota; Eurotiomycetes; Verrucariales; Verrucariaceae. The record is from RNAcentral.